ACGCUCGACACCUACGGGAGCAGCAGUGGGGAAUAUUGCACAAUGGGGGAAACCCUGAUGCAGCAACGCCGCGUGAGUGAAGAAGUAUUUCGGUAUGUAAAGCUCUAUCAGCAGGGAAGAUAAUGACGGUACCUGACUAAGAAGCUCCGGCUAAAUACGUACCAGCAGCCGCGGUAAUCUGAGCGGGCGUGGCAAGGC
RNAcentral lists this ribosomal RNA (198 nucleotides) under uncultured bacterium. RNAcentral describes it as "partial 16S ribosomal RNA". It matches the Rfam family "Bacterial small subunit ribosomal RNA", at positions 328 to 544 of the family's 1533-position model. The record is from RNAcentral.